RNAcentral lists this unclassified non-coding RNA (222 nucleotides) under rhizosphere metagenome. Its description in RNAcentral is "partial ribosomal RNA internal transcribed spacer region". The record is from RNAcentral.
GUAGGUGAACCUGCGGAAGGAUCAUUAUCUUCUGUCCAUCUUAGGCAGCUCGGGGGGGCUUUAGUCUCUAGAGUCCCUGUCUGAACCCAUGUCUUUUGUAUACCCCUUGUUUCCUUGGUAGGCUUGCCUGCCAGUUGGACCCCCUAAAAACAUAUUGUAUUUGCAAUCAGCGUCUGAAAAACAUAAUAAUUACAACUUUCAACAACGGAUCUCUUGGUUCUG